This is a long non-coding RNA of Hydra vulgaris (swiftwater hydra), 256 nucleotides long. RefSeq lists it as uncharacterized. Lineage: Eukaryota; Metazoa; Cnidaria; Hydrozoa; Anthoathecata; Hydridae. The record is from RefSeq and is a predicted model, not a curated record.
UAUAUAUAUUAAAUAGUAUGAAAAAAUGUUUACCAAAAUCUUAACUUGCAAUGUGUAGAAAUGAAAUCAGAUCAUUUUAUGAAGUAUUGGCAGGAUGUACUUGACGACUUACCAACUUCCAACUACAUGCCAGUUUGAAAUAUUUUUCAUACUCGGUGGAGUUGAGGCGAUUUACAAGUUAUUCGAAUUCUUUUAUUUGAAAUUAGCAUGAUUUUAUCAGCGUAUUAUGUUCAAACAAGAGCUUUAGAUGUUAUGA